This is a long non-coding RNA of Topomyia yanbarensis, 1130 nucleotides long. RefSeq lists it as uncharacterized. The transcript has 2 exons. NCBI's taxonomy places the organism in Eukaryota, Metazoa, Arthropoda, Insecta, Diptera, Culicidae. The record is from RefSeq and is a predicted model, not a curated record.
GUAUUUCGCCAUUUUCUCGGAAUGUUCAUCUUUGUGGAUUAUGUUGACGCAUUGGAUGAUAUCGCUCAACGAUGUAUCCCACUUUUUUAUACCUUCAUCAUUAAUACCAUACAACAAAUGAAAGUCGAUAUCAAUCUGAAAGGUAAACAUGAUUCGUUAAAUUACUAAAUAAUAAGGUGAUUUCACUAUCAAGGGAAACUAGAAGUAGGAAAAGAAAAUUGUUUUUUUUUUAUUUCGCAUGUAGAUGUUUUAUCCUUAGAGUUAGGGCCCAGAUAAGCUGAAAUUCCAUUCCGAUUCCGUUCCGUUUUGACGUUGUGGAUCGCAGUGGAACUUAUGUUCAACCCUGUGCAUAUGUCUAAACCAGAGCAAAACAAAUCGAUCAUCUCUUUUUCUCCUAUCAAUUUUUCUUUCGUGUGUCAUCAUGCUUGCGUUACCAGUCAGAAAGAGAUAAAAAACUUUGUUUACAUAUAGUAUUAAAAGCAGCAAACGAAAAUUUCAAUCACAUUUUAAAUCUUUCUGCAAUUAAAAAUAUAUAUUAGCAAAAGUUUUUCACUACAAUCGGAGCAUAAAAAAGUUCCGGAAGUGCUUGUGGAGUUUUGUUGUUGUUUUUCCGAAUAGUAAGCUAGCGAGAGUGGAUAUUUUUUAACACCAUGUCAACAAAAAUGACAAAUUGUUGAUGAGCGAUGUACGGUUGAAAUAAUGCCUGAUGAUAAAUUCUAUUCUAUUGCGAACAAUAAAUCACCUUUGUGUAUUGGUAUUAUGAUGUGUAAUUAUGAUGUGUAAUUCGAUUAAUCCAAAUCAGAUUAGAAACUAGUGUAGGAAGAUCUUGUGUAGUGUUUUAAGGAGCCAAUAAGAAGAUCAUGUAGUGAGAAGACUUCACCCCGGAAGCUUAAACAAGUUGAAGGCUCUUUUGUAUGGCAAUACAAAUUACGAAAUUACAACGAGUGAAACGUGUUAGCAUCUUUGAUACACAGCUGCUAUUUGGACCAGCGAUCAUGCAGUUUUGAAGGCUACACGUGGUAAUGGAUACCCUCGAUACGAGAUUUCAACGUGCCAUAAUGCGAUUUGGAGCUGGCUGAUAACUAUUCGACUAAAACUAUAUAAGGAAUAGACAAACGAAUGAAAUAUCA